UUCCGGUUGAUCCUGCCGAAGGUUACUGCUAUUGGAGUUCGAUUAAGCCAUGCGAGUCAAGGGGACUUCGGUCACCGGCGGAAUGCUCAGUAACACGUGGACAAUCUGCCCUCGGGUGGGGAAUAAACCCGCGAAAGUGGGGCUAAUACCCCAUAGGCACAGGAGGCUGGAAUGCAUCUGUGCCCAAAGCUCCGGCGCCCGAGGAUGAGUCUGCGGCCUAUCAGGUAGUAGUCAGGGUUAUGACCUGACUAGCCAGCGACGGGUACGGGCCUUGAGAGAGGUCGCCCGGAGAUGGACUCUGAGACACGAGUCCAGGCCCUACGGGGCGCAGCAGGCGCGAAAACUUCGCAAUGCAGGAAACUGUGACGAGGGAACUCCAAGUGUCCAUGCAUUGCAUGGACUGUUUGCCAGCCUAAAUAGCUAUUAGAGUAAGGGGUGGGCAAGACCGGUGCCAGCCGCCGCGGUAACACCGGCACCUCGAGUGGUAGCCACUAUUAUUGGGCCUAAAGCGUUCGUAGCCGGUUUGGUAAAUUCUUGGGUAAAUCGUACCGCUUAACGGUGCGGAUUCCGGGGACACUACCAGACUUGAGACCGGGGGAGAUCAGAGGUACUUGCGGGGGAGCGGUGAAAUGUUGUAAUCCCGCAGGGACCACCAGUGGCGAAGGCGUCUGAUCAGAACGGCUCUGACGGUGAGGAACGAAACCCUGGGGCGCAAACGGGAUUAGAUACCCCGGUAGUCCAGGGCGUAAACGCUGCUGACUUGGUGUUGGGGAUCCUACGAGGAUGUCCAGUGCUGGCGCGAAGGUAUUAAGUCAGCCGCCUGGGGAGUACGGUCGCAAGGCUGAAACUUAAAGGAAUUGGCGGGGGAGCACUGCAACCUGAGGAUUGUGCGGUUUAAUUGGAUUCAACGCCGGA
RNAcentral lists this ribosomal RNA (915 nucleotides) under uncultured marine archaeon. RNAcentral's name for it is "bacterial SSU rRNA". It matches the Rfam family "Archaeal small subunit ribosomal RNA", at positions 1 to 922 of the family's 1478-position model. The record is from RNAcentral.